Non-coding RNA from Schistosoma margrebowiei, 45 nucleotides. The record is from Rfam. Lineage: Eukaryota; Metazoa; Platyhelminthes; Trematoda; Strigeidida; Schistosomatidae.
AUCCAGCUAACGAGUCCAGAAUAGGAUGAAAUGUGUGUCUUGGAU